UACGAAGGGGGCUAGCGUUGCUCGGAAUCACUGGGCGUAAAGGGCGCGUAGGCGGAUCUUUAAGUCGGGGGUGAAAGCCCAGGGCUCAACCCUGGAAUUGCCUUCGAUACUGGAGAUCUUGGGACCGGAAGAGGUAAGUGGAACUGCGAGUGUAGAGGUGAAAUUCGUAGAUAUUCGCAAGAACACCAGUGGCGAAGGCGGCUUACUGGUCCGGUUCUGACGCUGAGGCGCGAAAGCGUGGGGAGCAAACAGG
This 253-nucleotide ribosomal RNA is filed under the name uncultured bacterium. RNAcentral's name for it is "partial 16S ribosomal RNA". It matches the Rfam family "Bacterial small subunit ribosomal RNA", at positions 524 to 776 of the family's 1533-position model. The record is from RNAcentral.